This 440-nucleotide ribosomal RNA is filed under the name uncultured bacterium. RNAcentral's name for it is "partial 16S ribosomal RNA". It matches the Rfam family "Bacterial small subunit ribosomal RNA", at positions 339 to 795 of the family's 1533-position model. The record is from RNAcentral.
CUACGGGGGGCAGCAGUCGAGAAUCUUCCGCAAUGAGCGAAAGCCUGACGGAGCAAUGCCGCGUGCAGGAUGAAGGCCUUCGGGUCGUAAACUGCUGUCACCGGGGAUGAAUAAUGACAGUACCCGGGGAGGAAGUCACGGCUAACUACGUGCCAGCAGCCGCGGUAAUACGUAGGUGACAAGCGUUGUUCGGAUUUACUGGGCGUAAAGGGUUCGUAGGAUGUUGAUUAAGAUUGGUGUGAAAUCCCAAGGCUCAACCUUGGAACUGCAUUGAUUACUGAUGAACUAGAGUGUCGUAGAGGAAAGCGGAAUUCCAGGUGUAGCGGUGGAAUGCGUAGAUAUCUGGAAGAACACCGACAGCGAAGGCAGCUUUCUGGGCGAUAACUGACUCUGAGGAACGAAAGCAUGGGGAGCAAACAGGAUUAGAUACCCCGGUAGUC